RNAcentral lists this ribosomal RNA (165 nucleotides) under uncultured bacterium. RNAcentral's name for it is "partial 16S ribosomal RNA". It matches the Rfam family "Bacterial small subunit ribosomal RNA", at positions 355 to 511 of the family's 1533-position model. The record is from RNAcentral.
UAGGGAAUCUUCCACAAUGGGCGCAAGCCUGAUGGAGCAACACCGCGUGAGUGAAGAAGGUUUUCGGAUCGUAAAACUCUGUUGGUAGAGAAGAACGUUGGUGAGAGUGGAAAGCUCAUCAAGUGACGGUAACUACCCAGAAAGGGACGGCUAACUACGUGUCAG